Bacteroidetes oral taxon 274 str. F0058 is the source of this 93-nucleotide regulatory RNA element. It matches the Rfam family "TPP riboswitch aptamer (THI element)". Rfam says of the family: Vitamin B(1) in its active form thiamin pyrophosphate (TPP) is an essential coenzyme that is synthesised by coupling of pyrimidine and thiazole moieties in bacteria. The previously detected thiamin-regulatory element, thi box was extended, resulting in a new, highly conserved RNA secondary structure, the THI element, which is widely distributed in eubacteria and also occurs in some archaea. NCBI's taxonomy places the organism in Bacteria, Pseudomonadati, Bacteroidota. The record is from Rfam.
UAAACAAAAAAGGGGUGCUUCAUUGUAGGCUGAGAUUAUACCCUCGAACCUGAUGCGGAUAAUGCCGCCGUAGGGAUUUGAGUUAACGAAAAA